UACGGAGGGUGCAAGCGUUAUCCGGAUUCACUGGGUUUAAAGGGUGCGUAGGUGGGCAGGUAAGUCAGUGGUGAAAUCUCCGAGCUUAACUCGGAAACUGCCGUUGAUACUAUUUGUCUUGAAUAUUGUGGAGGUAAGCGGAAUAUGUCAUGUAGCGGUGAAAUGCUUAGAUAUGACAUAGAACACCAAUUGCGAAGGCAGCUUACUACACAACGAUUGACGCUGAGGCACGAAAGCGUGGGGAGCAAAACGG
This 253-nucleotide ribosomal RNA is filed under the name uncultured bacterium. RNAcentral's name for it is "partial 16S ribosomal RNA". It matches the Rfam family "Bacterial small subunit ribosomal RNA", at positions 524 to 776 of the family's 1533-position model. The record is from RNAcentral.